AGUAAAGUAAGCUAGACAAAGCUUUUGGGCCCAUACCCCAAGAACGUUGGUGAGACCCCCACCUUUACUU
This 70-nucleotide transfer RNA is filed under the name Tridentiger barbatus (Shokihaze gobi). Its description in RNAcentral is "tRNA-Met". Lineage: Eukaryota; Metazoa; Chordata; Actinopteri; Gobiiformes; Gobiidae. The record is from RNAcentral.